Sphaerobolus stellatus SS14 is the source of this 98-nucleotide non-coding RNA. NCBI's taxonomy places the organism in Eukaryota, Fungi, Basidiomycota, Agaricomycetes, Geastrales, Sphaerobolaceae. The record is from the annotation of a GenBank genome assembly.
UGUCCCAUGGCUUAAUUGGCUAUAGGUCUGACUGCUAUCUUUUAGAAGACUGUGAUCGGAAGGUCGAGAGUUCAAGAGUUCGAGCCUCUCUGGGGCAG